This 477-nucleotide ribosomal RNA is filed under the name uncultured bacterium. RNAcentral's name for it is "partial 16S ribosomal RNA". It matches the Rfam family "Bacterial small subunit ribosomal RNA", at positions 30 to 507 of the family's 1533-position model. The record is from RNAcentral.
AUUGAACGCUGGCGGCAUGCCUUACACAUGCGAGUCGAACGGUAACAGGUUAAGCUGCCGAGUGGCGAACGGGUGAGUAAUACAUCGGAACGUGCCCAGUAGUGGGGGAUAGCCCGGCGAAAGCCGGAUUAAUACCGCAUACGACCUAAGGGUGAAAGGGGGGGAUCGCAAGACCUCUCGCUAUUGGAGCGGCCGAUGUCAGAUUAGCUAGUUGGUGGGGUAAAAGCUCACCAAGGCGACGAUCUGUAGCUGGUCUGAGAGGACGACCAGCCACACUGGGACUGAGACACGGCCCAGACUCCUACGGGAGGCAGCAGUGGGGAAUUUUGGACAAUGGGCGCAAGCCUGAUCCAGCCAUGCCGCGUGCGGGAAGAAGGCCUUCGGGUUGUAAAACGCUUUUGUCAGGGAAGAAAUCCUUUGGGUUAAUACCUCGGGGGGAUGACGGUACCUGAAGAAUAAGCACCGGCUAACUACGUG